CACGUAGGCGGGUUCUUAAGUCAGAUUUUAAAUCCAACAGCUUAACUGUUGACCUGGAUCUGAAACUGGGAGUCUUGAGUGUAAGAGAGGAAAGCGGAAUUCCUGGUGUAGCGGUGAAAUGCGUAGAUAUCAGGAAGAACACCGGUGGCGAAGGCGGCUUUCUGGCUUAUUACUGACGCUGAUGUGCGAAAGCGCGGGGAGCGAACAGGAUUAGAUACCCUGGUAGUCC
Molecule: ribosomal RNA, 229 nt
Filed under: uncultured bacterium
Lineage: Bacteria
Description: partial 16S ribosomal RNA
Rfam family: Bacterial small subunit ribosomal RNA
Source: RNAcentral